This is a non-coding RNA of Mesocricetus auratus (golden hamster), 45 nucleotides long. The record is from Rfam. Lineage: Eukaryota; Metazoa; Chordata; Mammalia; Rodentia; Cricetidae.
CCAAAGGCUCUUUUCAGAGCCACCCACACCCUCAAAAGAACUGUA